CCCUGUGCACACGGUAUGUUAGAAGUAUCAUGAAACCAGUGAUUUCCCGAAAUGACUGAAAUUUUCAGUCAUUUUUCAAAUGACUCCUUCAGUCACUCAUUUGGUAAAAUGACUAAAAGUUUCGUGUGCUCUACAAAGUGACUGACGUGCUGCAAAUUCCGCCAGACUGUUUGGCUGCUUCACCCAGUAUCAGGCAUAUUGGGAAAAGGGAUGUUAUUGGAUAAAGAUCCUUUGCUUUUUUCUGCACUGGCUGCUGGGCAUGACUCUGGAUUUUGAAGGUGUGAAAUUCUAUGGCUGGUGGCAAGAAGCAGCUAAUCAAAACCACUGGACUAAAGAAGCAUUUCCUACAUACUGUGUGAACGUUGAAGAGAGGAUCCUGAUUGUGAAAACCCCAGAUGUAUGAAUGAGGGCAGUCACCUUGAGAAGUGUUCCUGAAGUCUGGCGAGGACAGGCUGCACAAUCUGUGCUGUACCACAGCGGCUGAAGAUUUUGGCUGCCAUCCUCUGAAGGGAAAUGAAGGCACAGAGAUGCUAAAGGACACAUCCCAGUUUUAUAAUUCUCUACAUGUUGGAAGUAGGACAGAAGACAAAUGCUGUGAAAUGCUCAGCAUCACUUUUCUUGUAAAAGAAAAUGAAAUUCAGGAAGGUGGAUCAGGAAAACCGCAUUCUCCUGCCACAGUUUGUUCCUGUAUACAUCUCAUGAUAAGUUGCAAGCCAAUUUGACCUUACAACAUGGUGAGUAUGGCCCAGCAUCCCAUGGGAUCAAGGAGUUAUAGGCUUGUUUCCACACUGCUGUUUCUUCUACUUGUGUGUGUCUCCAGAUUCCUGCUCAUGGUUCUUUUACCAAAAUUAGAGUAGAUUUGAAUCCAACAGAAUAUUAUGAAGUUUGGUGCACUUUCCAUAUUGUUUUACUUUAAGUGGUUCUUGCCGUCAUAAUGGGCGCAGACCAUUUAACAUUGUGCUUUGUCAUGCAGGAACCUAACCUAAGAGUCUGCAUUGAGAGCAAGAUAUUUUUUUCCAAGCCUGCCUUAAAACAAGGCAUUCCUGCCUGCCCCAAACUGGCCAUGAAGGAUGAUUGCCCAUGGCUGCUUGUUGCACAGACCAAUGUGCUGUUUUGGAGGGUCUUCACUUUUCUCCUGCUGGAUUCUCCUCCCUGUGUUGUACUGUGACCUCUGACAGUCAGCAGGACUAGGGCUCAGGCAGCCUGUGAGAAACUACUCAGGAAGGGUAGAGUUUCCCAAGCAGCUGUCUUUAUACCUUUCCUUCCUUUGGGGAAAAAAUCAGUCAUCUUUCUCCAACCUAAGAGGAAAAAGUUGAAUGUGAGUUUCUACACUAGAAUGUAGUAUUCAGGCUGUCUGAGCAGGUGAUCUAGAAAAUUAACUCACUAAUUUCCUAAAUGUUCCCCAAACAGUAGUUACUUUCUCUCUCCCUCUCUCUCCUUCUCUCACUAACAGUCAUGUUUUCAACAGCUUAAUAAUUCAGCCCCAUUUCUGAAACUUAUGGUAUCUUAGAAAAAACCCUACACUAUUAGUAUGCACUUCUGUUUCAACAAUUGCUAAUGCUUUACCUCCUGCUUCUGUCAUGAACUGAAUUUUCUUUGGAUGCUGAAGAUGUUCCUCAAUUUCAUUUUUUAAUUUAUCCCUAUCAUUUUCAUUGGCAAGACUCCAGGGAAUAGCAUGACCCCUCUAGAAGAAAUGGUGUUGACUGUCUCUGAAGUUUUCUUGGCAUUAUGGUCCAAAUCCCACAUUGGCUCUGGAUCAGCUAUUCAAGGUCAGGAACAAAGAGUACACAAGAAAAUGAUGGAUGUUAAACAUUUUCCUUGGCUUUGCAUGCAGAGGGAUUUUGCUUUCCGAAAACUAAGUGUUGAGUCACUUUAACCUGGUGGGAUUCCGAUAUGCCCAGAAAAUUUUCCCUGAAUUUGUUGUGCAAAAAGCUUUUUUUCAGGAGGAAUUAGUAAUCUGAAUCUUUCAUUUUAAGGUAUUUUACUUGCCUAAUCUUAAUUACCCAUAGCAGAGUUACAGGAUGUAGAAGGAAACCUUUGAUAGCUUUCCUGGGAGAGCCUCAAGAAGAGAGAGCUGAGCUGUGCCCUACAGCCAUUGCCUGCUCCUGUAUGCUCCCAGAUCAAUAACUAAAAAGGUGCAAAGCCAGUUGGCCACCAGGGCAGCAGCAUCUCUCCCCACUAAUGAGGGUGACCUUUCCACCCACUGCUUCACAUGACUGAAAUCAGGGGAAAUCAGUUUACUCAGGCCAGAACUUAUAUAACUGGUGAUGCUCAGGCUGAAAUUCCUGCUCAUGGUGUGAUGAAUGCAUUGUGGAUCUAUUUGAAAAAUUGAAGAAAUCAGACUGAAGAUAAAAGGGCUGCAACUGAACCAGCUAGAUCCUCUGUAGUUUCUGACAGAUAGGUGAAGAAUAAUGAUGUCUCCAAAGCGUCUGUCCUUCCGUUUGGAGAAUUACACAUUUAACUGUAAAAAAUCGCUGCUGCUGAACCAAAGGUCCUGCUGCUUACACCAUUUACAAAGGCCCUUAAAAUCAUGGACGAGAACACAGUUCUGUGAAGAAAGGGAGACCGCUGUGUGGGUUGAAGGGUAACAUUUAAAAGCUUUGCUCAUCCCAAAGCAGCCACGUCACUUCUCAUUGGCUGCUAUACUCAAGCUUAAAAAGGGACCUUGAGAUAUUAAUUAUGUAUCCAGCUAGCUAUUUAAUAAAUCCAUUCAGUAGUAAACUCUUAUAUAGUAGCUAAUAUAUGUAUGGAAUGCUGUAAAUAUUUUAAAUAAAAAUAAAGGGAAAUUUUAUGCCAUUUUUACAUUACCUUAUGCAACAAAAAUAUAUCAUCAAAAAAAAAUCAGUUUAAAGUGUUAUAUUGAGUUACAAACUGAAAUGCACGCUUUUUCUUACAUAGGACUACUGUUUUAACUUGAAAUAUAAAUGAGCAUAUUAUUUAUUAU
Molecule: long non-coding RNA, 2944 nt
Organism: Zonotrichia albicollis (white-throated sparrow)
Lineage: Eukaryota; Metazoa; Chordata; Aves; Passeriformes; Passerellidae
Source: RefSeq, a predicted model, not a curated record